GCAACCCGACUACAUGAAGCUGGAAUCGCUAGUAAUCGCGAAUCAGAAUGUCGCGGUGAAUACGUUCCCGGGUCUUGUACACACCGCCCGUCACACCAUGGGAGUCGGAAAUGCCCGAAGUCAGUGACCCAACCGUAAGGAGGGAGCUGCCGAAGGUGGAGCCGGUAAACUGGGGGUGAAGUCGUAACAAGGUAAC
This 196-nucleotide ribosomal RNA is filed under the name uncultured bacterium. Its description in RNAcentral is "partial 16S ribosomal RNA". It matches the Rfam family "Bacterial small subunit ribosomal RNA", at positions 1307 to 1500 of the family's 1533-position model. The record is from RNAcentral.